This 1821-nucleotide long non-coding RNA is filed under the name Sitophilus oryzae (rice weevil). RNAcentral describes it as "uncharacterized LOC115888003". Lineage: Eukaryota; Metazoa; Arthropoda; Insecta; Coleoptera; Curculionidae. The record is from RNAcentral.
ACGUAAAUUAGUAAAUAAUGUAAUUUUACAUUAUAAUGAGAAUUAAAGUAUUAGUAAUUUAUUUUUGUUACUAAAAUUAAAUUCAGUUUGUUCCUGCAUAAAUCUUUUUAGUACUAAACUGCUUUGGAAUGAAUUUUUUGGGGGGACAACAGCAGGAUUAGGGCCAUCUUCUAGAUGCCAUCAGGUAGGUGCGCUAGCGUAGUCGUUUGUUGUAUAUCCCUUUUCCCCCUUUUUUAAAAAUGUUUGUAAGACGCCUGAAAUUUGUAUAAGAUAGUUAUAUAAGUAGUAGAAUAAGAAUUGGUGAGGCUUGGAAAAUAGAAGAGGACAGAGGAGAUGGAAGAGGAUUCCUGUGAAAUAGAAGGAAAGGAGAUAGGAGAUGUUUGAGGAGAGGAGGAGGAUUUUGUUCGCAGUAAUGUAUAUUUUUUGAAUGAAAUUUGGAGCAACUGUAUUUAGAUGUUAUUGAUAUUUUGGACAUCAAGUCAUCAAGUUUCAUUUAUUUGUGUAUUAUACAAGCCUAUCUAUUGGUGGAAAUGUAAAAUGGCAGCUGGUAUAACACCUUGUAUGAAUUAUUAGGAACUCCAAAGAACUUUUGACAUAAUUUAAACUGGGAAGAAGCUCAUAAAAAACUAGUUUAGGCUGCAGUAGUACCAGGACCAUAAAUUGGCUUCCACAACACAGAUCUCUUUCAAAAAUGAUAUCUGUUCGAGUGAUGUACUGGGCGUUAACAGUUGUUGUUACAAAUCUGCAAAUAAGUUACUACUGUGCAUACGUUUGAGGAAUGUCAAGAAAUGUUUUGAAUGAAACGAUAGUGAAAAACUUGUCCACAAAUGUCAAUUUCAAGAUACAAUCAAUAGUACUAAGAUUGAUUGGCCUCCAUUACCAUUAAGCUAUAAAAAUGUCAGCAAUAUAAAUUGGUAUUAAUGGACGUUUUGAUAGCUGUUUAAAGUCCAAGUUCCAGUUUUAAUGGAUAAUCUUUAAUGGACACAGAAAAAUGCCAUUUACUGGAUUGACUUCAACACAUGUUGCCUUUUAAUAAUGGUAUACAACGGUACAAUUGUUGUUAGAAGUUAACAAGUAGUACUAGUUGCAGAUAAUAUAUUAUGGUGGACAUCAAAAAGCUUUAAAUGGAAUGAAACUUGCAGGAAAAAUAAAGGAAAACCAUUUUAGACUGUAUACGUAAUAGUUGUUAGAGUGGAUGCAGUCCUUCAUCAAUGUGAGCUGAACAAAUUGAUGGUAAUGGACAUUUUGACAGCUGCUGUCACAACUCAACGAACAUGUUGCAGCGUUGAAGGAAAAUUUUUCAUUGGAUACAGAAAAAUGUCAGUUGUUUCAGGAUGUAAAGUUAAUAGAACCAGGGUCGGGCUCGACAUCUGUUGCCUUUUAAUAAUGGUAUACGAAAAGACAAUUGCUAUUAGAAAUUAAUAAGUCGUACUAGCUGCAAGUAAUAUUUAUGGUGGUCAUAUAAGAGAUUUAAAUGGAAUGAAACUUGUGCAGAAGAAAUCAAGAAAAACCAUUUUGAACUGCUGUUACUUAAUAGCUGUUAUAGCGGGUCCAGUUCUUCAUCAAUGGCAUAUGCUGGGACAAUUGCUGUUAAAAAUCCACAAGCUGUACUAUCUACAAAUAUUAUGGUUGACAUCAAAAAGCUUUAAAUGGAAUGAAACUUGUGCAGAAGAAAUCGAGGAAACCCAUUUUGAACUGCUGUUACUUAAUCGCUGUUAGAGCGGAUCCAGUUCUUCAUCAAUGGUAUAUGCUGGGACAAUUGCUGUUAAAAAUCCACAAGCUGUACUAUCUGCAAUUAUUAUGAUGGACAUCAAAAAACUU